UACGAAGGGGGCUAGCGUUGCUCGGAAUCACUGGGCGUAAAGCGCACGUAGGCGGAUCUUUAAGUCAGGGGUGAAAUCCUGGAGCUCAACUCCAGAACUGCCUUUGAUACUGGGGAUCUCGAGUCCGGAAGAGGUGAGUGGAACUCCGAGUGUAGAGGUGAAAUUCGUAGAUAUUCGGAAGAACACCAGUGGCGAAGGCGGCUCACUGGCCCGGUACUGACGCUGAGGCACGAAAGCGUGGGGAGCAAACAGG
Molecule: ribosomal RNA, 253 nt
Filed under: uncultured bacterium
Lineage: Bacteria
Description: partial 16S ribosomal RNA
Rfam family: Bacterial small subunit ribosomal RNA
Source: RNAcentral